RNAcentral lists this ribosomal RNA (660 nucleotides) under uncultured Burkholderia sp. Its description in RNAcentral is "bacterial SSU rRNA". It matches the Rfam family "Bacterial small subunit ribosomal RNA", at positions 114 to 770 of the family's 1533-position model. The record is from RNAcentral. Lineage: Bacteria; Pseudomonadati; Pseudomonadota; Betaproteobacteria; Burkholderiales; Burkholderiaceae.
UACAUCGGAACGUGUCCUGUAGUGGGGGAUAGCCCGGCGAAAGCCGGAUUAAUACCGCAUACGCUCUACGGAGGAAAGGGGGGGAUCUUAGGACCUCUCGCUGUAGGGGCGGCCGAUGGCAGAUUAGCUAGUUGGUGGGGUAAAGGCCUACCAAGGCGACGAUCUGUAGCUGGUCUGAGAGGACGACCAGCCACACUGGGACUGAGACACGGCCCAGACUCCUACGGGAGGCAGCAGUGGGGAAUUUUGGACAAUGGGCGCAAGCCUGAUCCAGCAAUGCCGCGUGUGUGAAGAAGGCCUUCGGGUUGUAAAGCACUUUUGUCCGGAAAGAAAACCGCCUGGCUAAUAUCCGGGCGGGAUGACGGUACCGGAAGAAUAAGCACCGGCUAACUACGUGCCAGCAGCCGCGGUAAUACGUAGGGUGCAAGCGUUAAUCGGAAUUACUGGGCGUAAAGCGUGCGCAGGCGGUCCGCUAAGACAGAUGUGAAAUCCCCGGGCUUAACCUGGGAACUGCAUUUGUGACUGGCGGGCUAGAGUAUGGCAGAGGGGGGUAGAACUCCACGUGUAGCAGUGAAAUGCGUAGAGAUGUGGAGGAAUACCGAUGGCGAAGGCAGCCCCCUGGGCCAAUACUGACGCUCAUGCACGAAAGCGUGGGGAGCA